CCCCUAGAUGUUCUGGGCCGCACGCGCGCUACACUGAACAGUUCAACAAGUCUUAACCUUGGCCGAUAGGUCUGGGUAAUCUUUGAACGCUGUUCGUGAUUGGGAUAGACCUUUGCAAUUAUGGGUCUUCAACGAGGAAUUCCUAGUAAACGCAAGUCAUCAGCUUGCAUUGAUUACGUCCCUGCCCUUUGUACACACCGCCCGUCGCACCUACCGAUUGAAUGGUCCGGUGAAAUCUCGGGACGGCGGCUUGGUCGCUUGCGUCCGACUGCUGAAACUUGAUUAAACCAUAUCAUUUAGAGGAAGUUGAAGUCGUANCA
RNAcentral lists this ribosomal RNA (320 nucleotides) under uncultured eukaryote. RNAcentral's name for it is "partial 18S ribosomal RNA". It matches the Rfam family "Eukaryotic small subunit ribosomal RNA", at positions 1470 to 1796 of the family's 1831-position model. The record is from RNAcentral.